Molecule: unclassified non-coding RNA, 1045 nt
Filed under: Hevea brasiliensis (rubber tree)
Lineage: Eukaryota; Viridiplantae; Streptophyta; Magnoliopsida; Malpighiales; Euphorbiaceae
Source: RNAcentral
CGCAUAUGCUGUUAUUUACAUCCCCUGGAACUUGGAAGAAUUCACAAGCUCCAGCAAAAGUCAGAUGAAAUGGUUAAAUAUUCGAUCAAAAUUGAUUGAUCUUACAACAGGCAUCGUAUUGUCAGAUUACUGCUGUAACAUAAGACUGAUAAAUUCUGCUUUUCUUUUUUAUUUUACCCCUCUUCUCAACCAGUUGGCAUUAGAGAGGGAGAAAAUUCAUCCUUUAUAGCUACUGUUAUGUAUCAGCUGCGCUCCUCGACCAAUAAUAAAAGCCAGGCCACCAAAAUAUCACACCAAUCAACGGGAUCUUUAUCGCCUUUUUAGCAUAAUAGAAUCCUUAAAAUUUGGCUUACCAUGUAUUGGUGCGCUUCAAAUAGGCCAAUACACCAACACUAGUUAGCACAACAGCACCUGCAAAAAUCCCCAUGCGCACUGAACCCCAUCCAUCAUUCUCUACAGAGGGACUACUCAAUCCUUGCACUGCUUUUACAUCAGAAUAAUCUAGAUGCAAUCUUAAGACCUUUAGUCCUAGUGAUCUGGCGUGGCUAAUUGCACCUACAAGAUCACUAUCAGUUGUCAGCAGAACUUUAUCGCCUUCAUCAUCUUCAUACAAAAGUUGAGGACGAUUUUGUUCAUCUACUGCACCUAACCUUUGCACAACCGCAGUGACAAGCUCCAGUAAGCUCUCUGAGCCAAAAUUAAAUCUGUUGACACGACCUUUAAGGUCAACAAAUUUGAAAGCAAAUGUAUUUCCAAGACCCAAUAAUGGAUAUCCAGAUUUUCCUGCUUCUGCCCCUUCUGACAUCAUCAAUUGAGACAUAGACAUCUCACUGAGAGAAUCAUAAUCGUCAGGUGGCUCCAGGUUAAGUGCCGAAUCCCAAAACUUCUGCAUCAUAGUAUUGGCCAUUUCAUUGACAGCACCUGAGCUGUUCUCCACCAUAGAUAUAGCUGCAUGAGUUAUCUGCAAUACAUCUAUGCAGGCGACAACACAUCCAUCUCUAUCUAUAAUAGGAAGGUGUAGAAACUUCCCAUCAUGCAUUAUAUG